UACGUAGGGUGCGAGCGUUAAUCGGAAUUACUGGGCGUAAAGCGUGCGCAGGCGGUUUUGUAAGCCAGAUGUGAAAUCCCCGGGCUUAACCUGGGAAUGGCAUUUGGGACUGCAAGGCUCGAGUGCGGCAGAGGAGACUGGAAUUCCUAGUGUAGCAGUGAAAUGCGUAGAUAUCAGGAGGAACACCGAUGGCGAAGGCAGGUCUCUGGGCUGACACUGACGCUCAUGCGCGAAAGCGUGGGGAGCAAACAGG
This 253-nucleotide ribosomal RNA is filed under the name uncultured bacterium. RNAcentral's name for it is "partial 16S ribosomal RNA". It matches the Rfam family "Bacterial small subunit ribosomal RNA", at positions 524 to 776 of the family's 1533-position model. The record is from RNAcentral.